AGAUCACAGAUGACCUUCAGCUGAUAUCAUUGAGCCCUGACCUGCCUCAGUGAUCUGCUCACACAGAAUACAUAUGCUGAACAGUGCUGGUGUGUGCAGUAGGGCACUUUCCUUCAUUAUCUGUCCUUGGUUUCACGUGCCUGAUUUCCCACUAUCAGGGAGACAAGGAGUUCUGGAUGAAGCAAUCUUUUUCUCACAACAUGGCUACCAGCUCAGUGGCGAGAAACACCUUGUUGGCUCCCAUGAAGGUUACCGAAUUGCAAGCUGUGCACGGGUCUUUAAAGCAGAAUUCUUUAGAUCGUGAGAGUCUGUAAUAGGACAUAAAUGGACAUUUCAUCUAUAAAAUGCCUACUCAUACACCGUCCUCACACCACAGCUAAUGCAUCAAAACCUGAAAUAGUUUCUGUGCGACAAUUUAUUUCCCUGGCCACAGAAAAUAAUGUCUUGUAUUAUCAAUAGAUUUUCCAUAGUACUUAGAUGUUCUGCUAAGAUAUCUUACAAACUUGUGCUGUGAGCUGUAUUUCCUGUUUAUAUUAUUUCAGUACAAAAGUUAUAAUAUUAUGUAUCUUCAUGUGGUUAAAAGGAUAUUUAUUCAAUUUCUUUAAGGUUUUUCUUUAUUACCCUCAAAAAAAUAUUAUUGGGGGGGGGGGAAAUGUCUUGAAUGCUUUAGUAGCAAAGAUAAGCAAAAGUAAAGAGGUCACCCAUCUUUGCUGUUUGGUGUCAUUUUGAUAGUAGCAUUCAUAUUUUUAAACAAAGAUAUUGAUUACUUGCAUAAAACAAACAAUAUCUUUUGUCAAAGGAUCUGAAGUCAUUUUUUAGGUACUGAUUACAACCACAACUCCCUUAGGAGAUCAGGACUUCUUAGGAGGCAUAGAGGUACUCUCUGUUACAAAGGCAUCCCAGAACUUCUCCAUUCAAGACACUGUUUUGCCUGUAUGAUAAAAUUAAUAUUUUAGCCUGAAAUGUUUGUGCCAAACAUUUUAUGCAAUUGCCAUGCUUUGUUUUGCCUCCUUUCAGCUCAUAUCAUCCACACUCAGAAAUACAGUUAUGGGAGACUAUGAGGAAAAUGUCCCAACUGCUAUGGUUUUGUGAGUUUCGGUUAUUGGUAUUCCACAUCAUAACAUCAUGUAGUGAAUGUACCUGGUUCUCAGAAGAGAAGGACUACGAC
Molecule: long non-coding RNA, 1168 nt
Organism: Numida meleagris (helmeted guineafowl)
Lineage: Eukaryota; Metazoa; Chordata; Aves; Galliformes; Numididae
Exons: 3
Source: RefSeq, a predicted model, not a curated record